This 497-nucleotide ribosomal RNA is filed under the name uncultured bacterium. RNAcentral's name for it is "partial 16S ribosomal RNA". It matches the Rfam family "Bacterial small subunit ribosomal RNA", at positions 28 to 507 of the family's 1533-position model. The record is from RNAcentral.
GAUGAACGCUGGCGGCGUGCCUAAUACAUGCAAGUCGAGCGAACGGACGAGAAGCUUGCUUCUCUGAUGUUAGCGGCGGACGGGUGAGUAACACGUGGAUAACCUACCUAUAAGACUGGGAUAACUUCGGGAAACCGGAGCUAAUACCGGAUAAUAUUUUGAACCGCAUGGUUCAAAAGUAAAAGACGGUCUUGCUGUCACUUAUAGAUGGAUCCGCGCUGCAUUAGCUAGUUGGUAAGGUAACGGCUUACCAAGGCAACGAUGCAUAGCCGACCUGAGAGGGUGAUCGGCCACACUGGAACUGAGACACGGUCCAGACUCCUACGGGAGGCAGCAGUAGGGAAUCGGCCGCAAUGGGCGAAAGCCUGACGGAGCAACGCCGCGUGAGUGAUGAAGGUCUUCGGAUCGUAAAACUCUGUUAUUAGGGAAGAACAUAUGUGUAAGUAACUGUGCACAUCGUGACGGUACCUAAUCAGAAAGCCACGGCUAACUACGUG